Molecule: small nucleolar RNA, 130 nt
Organism: Humulus lupulus (European hop)
Lineage: Eukaryota; Viridiplantae; Streptophyta; Magnoliopsida; Rosales; Cannabaceae
Product: small nucleolar RNA snoR74
Exons: 1
Source: RefSeq, a predicted model, not a curated record
AAAAAAGCAGUGACCUCUUGCCUUUGUUAAUGGGCCUCUCUUAAAUGUCAGGAAAAAUAAUAGCAUUGUUAUUGGGUGAACCUCCGUUUUGUUGAUUAUGGCUGAAGGUUCAGUAAAUGAAGCAACCUUU